RNAcentral lists this ribosomal RNA (301 nucleotides) under uncultured bacterium. RNAcentral's name for it is "partial 16S ribosomal RNA". It matches the Rfam family "Bacterial small subunit ribosomal RNA", at positions 509 to 807 of the family's 1533-position model. The record is from RNAcentral.
CAGUCGCCGCGGUAAUACCGAGGGUGCAAGCGUUAAUCGGAAUUACUGGGCGUAAAGCGCGCGUAGGUGGUUUGUUAAGUUGGAUGUGAAAGCCCCGGGCUCAACCUGGGAACUGCAUCCAAAACUGGCAAGCUAGAGUACGGUAGAGGGUGGUGGAAUUUCCUGUGUAGCGGUGAAAUGCGUAGAUAUAGGAAGGAACACCAGUGGCGAAGGCGACCACCUGGACUGAUACUGACACUGAGGUGCGAAAGCGUGGGGAGCAAACAGGAUUAGAUACCCGAGUAGUCCCUGUCUCUUAUAC